This 440-nucleotide ribosomal RNA is filed under the name uncultured bacterium. RNAcentral describes it as "partial 16S ribosomal RNA". It matches the Rfam family "Bacterial small subunit ribosomal RNA", at positions 338 to 795 of the family's 1533-position model. The record is from RNAcentral.
CCUACGGGGGGCUGCAGUGGGGGAUAUUGCACAAUGGGGGAAACCCUGAUGCAGCGACGCCGCGUGGGUGAAGAAGCGCCUCGGCGCGUAAAGCCCUGUCAGCAGGGAAGAAAAUGACGGUACCUGAAGAAGAAGCCCCGGCUAACUACGUGCCAGCAGCCGCGGUAAUACGGAGGGGGCAAGCGUUAUCCGGAUUUACUGGGUGUAAAGGGGGCGCAGACGGCGAUGCAAGCGAGGAGUGAAAGCCCCGGGGCCAACCCCGGGACUGCUCUUGGAACUGCGUGGCUAGAGUGCAGGAGGGGGAGGCGGAAUGCCUGGUGUAGCGGUGAAAUGCGUAGAUAUCAGGAGGAACACCGGAGGCGAAGGCGGCCUGCUGGACUGCAACUGACGUUGAGGCCCGAAAGCGUGGGGAGCAAACAGGAUUAGAUACCCUAGUAGUC